Molecule: ribosomal RNA, 253 nt
Filed under: uncultured bacterium
Lineage: Bacteria
Description: partial 16S ribosomal RNA
Rfam family: Bacterial small subunit ribosomal RNA
Source: RNAcentral
UACGUAGGGGGCAAGCGUUGCUCGGAAUUACUGGGCGUAAAGGGCGCGUAGGCGGACAGUUUAGUCAGAGGUGAAAGCCCAGGGCUCAACCUUGGAAUUGCCUUUGAUACUGGCUGUCUUGAGUUCGGGAGAGGUGAGUGGAAUGCCGAGUGUAGAGGUGAAAUUCGUAGAUAUUCGGCGGAACACCAGUGGCGAAGGCGACUCACUGGCCCGAUACUGACGCUGAGGCGCGAAAGCGUGGGGAGCAAACAGG